CAUUAGUCGGUACAACGGAAUGACCUUCUCCCCUUGGACUCACUAUGUUGCUUUGGGCGCUGGUCCGACCCAGGCGCGGCGCCCCCAGCCUUAACUGGGCCCGGCUAAGUGCCCGCCAGUAUACAAAACUCAAGAAUUCAUUUUGUGAAGUCCUGAUAUAUCAUUUAAUUGAUUAAAACUUUCAACAACGGAUCUCUUGGUUCUGGCAUCGAUGAAGAACGCAGCGAAAUGCGAUAAGUAAUGUGAAUUGCAGAAUUCAGUGAAUCAUCGAAUCUUUGAACGCACAUUGCGCCCUCUGGUAUUCCGGAGGGCAUGCCUGUUCGAGCGUCAUUUCAACCCUCAAGCUCUGCUUGGUAUUGGGCAACGUCCGCUGCCGGACGUGCCUUGAAGACCUCGGCGACGGCGUCCUAGCCUCGAGCGUAGUAGUAAAAUAUCUCGCUUUGGAGUGCUGGGCGACGGCGCCGGACAAUCGACCUUCGGUCUAUUUUUCCAAGG
RNAcentral lists this small RNA (495 nucleotides) under Phyllosticta sp. 1540 FbLB. RNAcentral describes it as "eukaryotic LSU rRNA". The stretch from base 177 to 330 matches the Rfam family "5.8S ribosomal RNA". Lineage: Eukaryota; Fungi; Ascomycota; Dothideomycetes; Botryosphaeriales; Phyllostictaceae. The record is from RNAcentral.